UCCUGCCUCCACUGACCCCGCCGGACGUCACCCCUCCGGCGCCGCCAUCGUACCGCCGCCGAUUUCGACGGCGUCUCCGCCCCCCCCUCCUUUCUCAUCUCUCUCUCUCCCUCUCUCUCUCUCUCCGCCUUUCUCUACAGAUCUCCGUCUCCCCCACUCCGCCGCCGUCGACCUCGGGCCCGCCGUCACGCCACCGCCACCACGGUUCUGCCCCAGCGCCGACGCCGACCCCUUUCUGGAUCCGCCAUGGCUGAGAGCACGGCGGCUCGCCGUGGCGGCCUCCCUCUCUCCCUCUCUCGGUCCUCCUCCCUUCACCGCCGGCAUGCACCGCCUCCGCCACCGAGGUCGUUCUCCGACAGAUAGGAUUUUAAGGAAUGAAAACAGUGGCGAAUUUCGGAGCGUGGGCUGUCGAUUGUCGGCGACGGAGUGCCGAGUUCGCUGCCGGAAGUCUCUCCGGCAAAUUUCUAUGUUAUUUAAGCUAAGUUCUUAGUGCUCCUUAAAGUCUGCCAUUUCUAAGUUCUUGAGAGCCUAUAGCAACUAAGUUCUUGAGGUGCUAAUUCCAUCAAAUACUAAUUUAGCAUUUUGGGACAGAGGUUGUUUUAAGCCUACGUGCAACAUGUUUGGAUACAAAAAUUUGUGUCUUGAGCAGAGACGUCUUUGCCUAUGUGUAAAAUAUUCAUGGAUGCCAAAUUGGGGUUCUACCUAUUUGAAAUUCUGGCAGAGACAUGUUUGGUCUAUAUGUCAUGCUGAAACCUAUAUGUCAUGUUGUGAAUAUGGGGAGGAAAGUAAGGAUUUUUGGUACUCACCUUGUUGUGAUGUGGAAAAAAGAAGGAUUUGUUGUUAGCUGGAUUUUCUUCUAUGUAAACGUCCUUUUCUUGGAAGGAUUCUUGUUGCCUUUGUUGCCUUUUUAGAGGUGAAUAUUUUGGUUUGUGAAAGAGUGUGGCAGUGAAAGUGACGGUAUAUAUGUGUAAGGAAGCCAAGUUGGCUGACAUUCUUCUGCCAGUAUAUUUUUUUGUCAGGAGAGUUA
This is a non-coding RNA of Salvia hispanica, 1027 nucleotides long. The record is from RefSeq and is a predicted model, not a curated record. NCBI's taxonomy places the organism in Eukaryota, Viridiplantae, Streptophyta, Magnoliopsida, Lamiales, Lamiaceae.